GGAAGUUUUCAGAGAUGAGAAUGUGCCUUCGGGAACCGUGAGACAGGUGCUGCAUGGCUGUCGUCAGCUCGUGUUGUGAAAUGUUGGGUUAAGUCCCGCAACGAGCGCAACCCUUAUCCUUUGUUGCCAGCGGUCCGGCCGGGAACUCAAAGGAGACUGCCAGUGAUAAACUGGAGGAAGGUGGGGAUGACGUCAAGUCAUCAUGGCCCUUACGACCAGGGCUACACACGUGCUACAAUGGCGCAUACAAAGAGAAGCGACCUCGCGAGAGCAAGCGGACCUCAUAAAGUGCGUCGUAGUCCGGAUUGGAGUCUGCAACUCGACUCCAUGAAGUCGGAAUCGCUAGUAAUCGUGGAUCAGAAUGCC
RNAcentral lists this ribosomal RNA (366 nucleotides) under Klebsiella pneumoniae. RNAcentral describes it as "partial 16S ribosomal RNA". It matches the Rfam family "Bacterial small subunit ribosomal RNA", at positions 992 to 1358 of the family's 1533-position model. Lineage: Bacteria; Pseudomonadati; Pseudomonadota; Gammaproteobacteria; Enterobacterales; Enterobacteriaceae. The record is from RNAcentral.